UACGGAGGAUGCGAGCGUUAUCCGGAUUUAUUGGGUUUAAAGGGUGCGUAGGUGGGAUGCCAAGUCAGCGGUAAAAAUGCGGUGCUCAACGCCGUCGAGCCGUUGAAACUGGCGUUCUUGAGUGGGCGAGAAGUAUGCGGAAUGCGUGGUGUAGCGGUGAAAUGCAUAGAUAUCACGCAGAACUCCGAUUGCGAAGGCAGCAUACCGGCGCCCUACUGACGCUGAGGCACGAAAGCGUGGGUAUCGAACAGG
Molecule: ribosomal RNA, 252 nt
Filed under: uncultured bacterium
Lineage: Bacteria
Description: partial 16S ribosomal RNA
Rfam family: Bacterial small subunit ribosomal RNA
Source: RNAcentral